RNAcentral lists this unclassified non-coding RNA (333 nucleotides) under soil metagenome. RNAcentral describes it as "partial contains 5.8S ribosomal RNA, internal transcribed spacer 2, and large subunit ribosomal RNA". The stretch from base 1 to 120 matches the Rfam family "5.8S ribosomal RNA", at positions 35 to 154 of the family's 154-position model. The record is from RNAcentral.
GAUGAAGAACGUAGUGAAAUGCGAUAAGUAAUGUGAAUUGCAGAAUUCAGUGAAUCAUCGAAUCUUUGAACGCACAUUGCGCCCGCUAGUAUUCUGGCGGGCAUGCCUGUUCGAGCGUCAUUUCAACCAUCAAGCCCUGCUUGUGUUGGGGUCCUGCGGCUGCCCGCAGGCCCUGAAAACCAGUGGCGGGCUCGCUAGUCACACCGAGCGCAGUAGCACAUCUCGCUCAGGGCGUGCGGCGGGUUCUUGCCGUAAAACACCCCCUUUUUACCAAGGUUGACCUCGGAUCAGGUAGGAAUACCCGCUGAACUUAAGCAUAUCAUAAGCGGAGGA